CCGUCGUCAUAGGGUUUCAAGGCGGAUCUGACGGGCCUGGUGGGCUCGCGGCGAGCUUGGUGGAUGAAACGACGGCGUUGCAGCCGCGGUCUCGCCUCAUGCGUUUUCUGGAGCCGCCGUUGUCUCCGUCGUCGACGUCGUGGUCGGAGGAGGAGGAGGAAGCAAGAGCGAAGAUGCGGAGAUUUCCUUCCGAGGUCUCAACGACGCGUCGGAGAUUGUCCUCCUUGCGCUUGCGAGAAAGGCGAUCGAUUUCAAAUCUCAAAUCCAUCGAUCUCAGACCAGAUUCAGAUCUGCAGAGCCUCUCGAUUUCAGAUCUCAAAUCCAUCGAUCUCAGAUCAGAUUCAGAUCUGCAAAAGAGACCGAGAGAAAGAGAGAGAUUGAGAAGAGUGAGAGAAGUAGAGAGAAAAUCCUAACUCUUCCUCGCAAAAGCGAAGUGACGAAUUUAAGCGACCG
RNAcentral lists this long non-coding RNA (453 nucleotides) under Rosa chinensis. Its description in RNAcentral is "sRNA RchiOBHm_Chr4g0414421". Lineage: Eukaryota; Viridiplantae; Streptophyta; Magnoliopsida; Rosales; Rosaceae. The record is from RNAcentral.